GACAGAGGUGCCGAGCGUUAGGCGGAAUCACUGGGCUUAAAGCGUGUGUAGGCGGGCCGUUAAGUAUCUUGUGAAGUCCCCCGGCUCAACCGGGGAAUGGCUGGAUAUACUGGCGGUCUUGAGCGAUCUAGGGGCAGAUGGAACAAGUGGUGGAGCGGUGAAAUGCGUAGAUAUCACUUGGAACGCCAAAGGUGAAAACAGUCUGCUGGGGAUCUGCUGACGCUGAGACACGAAAGCCAGGGGAGCGAACGGG
Molecule: ribosomal RNA, 253 nt
Filed under: uncultured bacterium
Lineage: Bacteria
Description: partial 16S ribosomal RNA
Rfam family: Bacterial small subunit ribosomal RNA
Source: RNAcentral